GCUACAAGAAGGGAGAGGAGAAGCAGUUCGCUGCUGAGGAAAUCUCAUCCAUGGACUUGAUUAAGAUGCGUGAGAUUGAUGAAGCUUAACAAACAGCUUCCUUACUUGGUUGCUAAUGUCGUUGAGGUGUAAAAGCUAAGCCUUUGAAGCAACCCAAGGCACAACAAAAAGAAUAUGAUGAGGCUCUCUUCGUUGUCGGGCUUCUUCAAGAUGAUAUUGAUCCCAUGGUGUCUGUUAUGAAGGUGGAGAUGGAACCACCUUUGACUCACUCCUCAUUGUGCUGGUACUGGUGAG
Papaver somniferum (opium poppy) is the source of this 294-nucleotide long non-coding RNA. RefSeq lists it as uncharacterized. NCBI's taxonomy places the organism in Eukaryota, Viridiplantae, Streptophyta, Magnoliopsida, Ranunculales, Papaveraceae. The record is from RefSeq and is a predicted model, not a curated record. The transcript has 3 exons.